Molecule: long non-coding RNA, 234 nt
Organism: Hibiscus syriacus
Lineage: Eukaryota; Viridiplantae; Streptophyta; Magnoliopsida; Malvales; Malvaceae
Exons: 2
Source: RefSeq, a predicted model, not a curated record
AAGAAUGAUCUUUUACCGACACAAUCCAGUUUUUUUUUCUUAACACACUUCCUAUAUACCUGCCAAAGUGGUCCAGAUUUUUAUUUGAUGCCAAAAACUCCAUUUUAAAGGGGGAGAAGGUAGGGUGAUUAUAACAAACCAUGAUUUCACAACUAGGAAAUCAUCAGCGGAUAAGCAUUUUAAAAGGAGGAAAGAACCCACUACUGACUCAUCCAAGUCAAUUUUUCUGCAGGU